AUUGAACGCUGGCGGCAUGCUUUACACAUGCAAGUCGAACGGCAGCGCGGGGCAACCUGGCGGCGAGUGGCGCACGGGUGAGUAAUAUAUCGGAACGUACCCAGAAGUGGGGGAUAACGUAGCGAAAGUUACGCUCAUACCGCAUACGAUCUACGGAUGAAAGUAGGGGACCGCAAGGCCUUAUGCUUUUGGAGCGGCCGAUAUCUGAUUAGCUAGUUGGUGAGGUAAAGGCUCACCAAGGCGACGAUCAGUAGCUGGUCUGAGAGGACGACCAGCCACACUGGAACUGAGACACGGUCCAGACUCCUACGGGAGGCAGCAGUGGGGAAUUUUGGACAAUGGGCGCAAGCCUGAUCCAGCAAUGCCGCGUGAGUGAAGAAGGCCUUCGGGUUGUAAAGCUCUUUUGUCAGGGAAGAAACGGUAGAGGCUAAUAUCCUUUGCUAAUGACGGUACCUGAAGAAUAAGCACCGGCUAACUACGUG
This 482-nucleotide ribosomal RNA is filed under the name uncultured bacterium. Its description in RNAcentral is "partial 16S ribosomal RNA". It matches the Rfam family "Bacterial small subunit ribosomal RNA", at positions 30 to 507 of the family's 1533-position model. The record is from RNAcentral.